Molecule: unclassified non-coding RNA, 2648 nt
Filed under: Hevea brasiliensis (rubber tree)
Lineage: Eukaryota; Viridiplantae; Streptophyta; Magnoliopsida; Malpighiales; Euphorbiaceae
Source: RNAcentral
GUCAAGAAAUGGAUAUGGCCACCUGAAGCAUCAACAAUGCUAUUGGUGAGACAAACAAAAAAGAGGAUGAGGAAGGAGAAAAGGGAAAUGAAAAAUUACCAAAUUGGUAUACAAGCAUGGAUAAUCCACUGGAAAAUGACAAAACUACCCGUCCAUAGAAUGAAGUAAGAAAACCGAAACCAAGGAAAUGGCAAACAAUUCAAAGCUGUAUCACCAAGGAGUACGAUAAUAUUGAGCGUAUGCAUAUUAACUGUCAUCUGAAAUGAUUGAAAACAUGGCCAUUCAGAUGCAGUAGACCACAACAUGGUAAGAAAAAAGUUAUGAAGAAAAGAAAAAACAAAAACAAUCAAAAUGGAUAACCAAGAUGAGAAGAAAUAGAAGCAAUAAAACAAGGACUCUAUCAUAUAUUAUGGCCACUAUGUCUAAUUUGCUGAACUUAUGAACCCCAAAAGAUAAUAUAUAAUGCACAAACAAUAUAGUCAAGCCAUCUUGACUGCUUCCAAGGUCGGGCAUGGUCCCAAGACCUCUUGGAGCACAGCAUGUACUUGAUCAUUCCACCAUCCUAAGAGCUUUACAUAUGCACGUAUAUGUAAUAUGUCCAUAUUAAGGACGCACAAAUUGUAGAAUUAAAUAAUUAAUUUGGAGGUUAAGAAUGAUAGAAACAAAAAAAAUAAUUUAAAUGUGUUAUGACAUCUUUCUGUUAUUCUUACUCAUGAGACAUUAAGAUGCCAAAUACAAUACAAAUGCAAACUUCUUAUUUCGACUAAAGCCUGCCAGACUAGCUAGCGCAAGCUUCAUGUUCAAGCAACUGGUCAUUGUACAAGUUGGAGAAGGAAGCUUGCAUGGCAAUACCACCAUCGAGAUCAAGAAGAUUGCAACAACAUCAGGGCUCUCAGUUUAAGAAUUAUAAACAAUAUCAUGAAAAAACAAUAUAGCUAAGAAACACCGAACGCUGGUUUCGCUCCUAAUCAAUAAGACAUGGAAAAAACCAGGCAACGAAGCAAGAAAUAUAUCAAAUUACCCAAGUGUAUAUCCUUUUCUACCUAAGCACAAUGCUGCCUUCCAAAGUCCUGCCAUAGAUAACUGAUUGGCUUGGGCUAAAUGGAUGCCAGGAAUUAUAUCUACAUGAAUGUAAUACAGACGCAUCCUAAAUAUGCACAACAUGAAUAAACUCUUUCAAUGACUGAUAAUAUAAGAAACAAGAAGAGUAUGUGUUUAAAUGUCGCUGUAUCAAGUGUGCUCACAUACAGAUCUGGAGGCAGUAAUCAUUAAAGCAAAUGUAAAACAAGGGCUGAUUAAGAAUGCGUUACUUACAAAAUUCAUAGAGUAAUCUUUGAUGGUAAGAAAUGGAAAAAUAAUGGCCCAAUAAACAACAUCAGUGAGCAUUACUGCCCCAGCAUUCAUCUGAAAUAGAACUUGAAAGAGAUAAUUAGAAACAGUUGCUGCUUGAAAACCGUAAAUUUCCUCUUGGGUAUUUGAUAAUUUUCUUGCAUUGAGUAUAUUUGACCUUUCCUCGCGUAUUAGAGGCACACGGUACCCUUGUUCAACAUCAUCCCCAAUGUGAUGGAUAUUGGAUGCUGCCAUGCCCAUUUUAUGAUAUCGGUAACACCCACAGACAGAAAGCAGUACUCCAAACUACAAAUCAUGUCGAGAACAUAAAGAACAUGGUAAUACAAAUGAUCCAAAAGCACAAUGAUGCUAGAAAUAUACUUCCAACAAAUGCAAAAAGUUGUGUAGAAGCAGACUGUACUCAUGACCAUGACAGCAACAAUAGCUAUGUAUAUGGAUCACACAUUCAAUCAAAAUUUGAGGGCGUUCAGCAUAAGGACCCAGAGAAAGAAAACACAUACCCCAAAAUAAAUGGUAACAGAAGUAAAAGUCCACUGAGUAUAGUAGUAAAACAUGACAAAUCCAUUAGCAGAAACUUUGCUAAUGAGCGACGCCAAAAGCAAAGAGAAAGCAAUAACUCGAUAAGCCAACAACCAAAUGGGGUGGAUUUGCUUAAGACAUGGCCUCCAAGCUCUAUCUUCAAACAAUGAAUGGUGUAUCUGUUGCUGAGUUUUUCCUCUGCAAGAUCUCGAAUGAUCAAAAUUUUCAUGUUUCCAUAUAAUAAAUAUUGCUACAACCACAGGGGUGAAGACACAGAUUGCACAUAGCAAGACGCUCCAGCUUAACCAGUAACUCAAGGUGGUAGAAUCAGGAGUAACCAGCAGCUGCAUCCUGACCAAGAAAUGACAAUAUUAUCUCUGCCGUUUCCUUGAUUACUCAUCAAUUAUCCAAUAUAGAUAGAGGAAAUGAUGAAAAAGAAUGCUUCUUUAGUAAUAGAGUGGAAGCAAAUGAAUCAGCAGGCUACAAACGCAAUGAUUUCAAGGACGCAUAGGCAGAAGCCAUCAGACAAGACGAAAUGAAAAAAUGGGGCAAGCUUGGGAAAACUUCUCUUUCAUGGUGGAAGUCGAGUACUCAAGUUUUUGGGAUCAAAGAAGAGAAUUUAUAUGCAGAAUCUAAUGACGAGCUGAUUCAAAUAUGUGGAAUCAAGAACUAAUAAUCCCAAAUUCUGGGUCACCAAAUUUUCAUGGACAUGGGCGGAUAAGAAAUGUGAUUAAAUUAUACAUAUAUAUAUAAUAUUAUAUGGAACUGAUUAACAGAAG